Myripristis murdjan (pinecone soldierfish) is the source of this 622-nucleotide long non-coding RNA. RefSeq lists it as uncharacterized. Lineage: Eukaryota; Metazoa; Chordata; Actinopteri; Holocentriformes; Holocentridae. The record is from RefSeq and is a predicted model, not a curated record. The transcript has 4 exons.
UUCACCAGUGUGCCUCCUAACCUCAAUAUGAUCUCUGAGACACAAUCUAGAAGAGAGAUGGCUCACUGUGGAGUAAUUUUCUGUGUCAUGUGGGUGCUCCAUCCCCUUUAGUAGCGUAGUGGCCAUCUGAGUUUGUUCAUUCCAAUGGGAGAGAUGAAUGCACCAGGACUGUGGGUUGAAGCCUAGGCGGCAGUUAUCCUUUUGGCCCUUCCUGCCCAUCUGACCUUCACACAGUCCCACUUUCCAGCGGCCCUCAUCUGAAGACACCUCCACCUCCCAGUACCAGCGGCCCCCCUCCAAGGCACGGGAGGCCAGGACCUGUGGGAAGGAGGUGAAUCGAGCCACAUGCUCUGGAUAUUUCAGCCGUGCCUGGUCCACCUCCUCUGGAGCCUCCAGCUCCUCCUCAGAGCUCCCCAGGUUACUGACCCUGAAAGCAAGGAGCAGAACAGGGAAUGUUGGCUGCCCAUGCCUGUCUGGUUCCAUUACAGCCUACAGGACGUGGACAUACUAAUCCCAUUCCCCACCGGGACACACUAAGGAUACACAGCAGGACCGAGGCUUUUCUACAGCAUCUCACUGAGUAGCCCUCUGAUAGUGAUGCAGAAUUAUGCAUGGACAGCAG